UUGCAGUUAAUUAAGCCGACCAGCUUCUUGUGUGGAAGUUCUGGUGUGCAAUGGCUGCAUACAGUAAACUCUCUCUCUGGUUGUGUACGUGCUCUGUUGGUCUGUACAGAGUGCCUUAAGGGACCUCCGAGACAGGC
Molecule: small nucleolar RNA, 137 nt
Organism: Rhincodon typus (whale shark)
Lineage: Eukaryota; Metazoa; Chordata; Chondrichthyes; Orectolobiformes; Rhincodontidae
Product: small nucleolar RNA SNORA70
Exons: 1
Source: RefSeq, a predicted model, not a curated record